UACGGAAGGCAGCAGUGGGGAAUAUUGCACAAUGGGCGCAAGCCUGAUGCAGCCAUGCCGCGUGUAUGAAGAAGGCCUUCGGGUUGUAAAGUACUUUCAGUCGUGAGGAAGGUGUUAAGGUUAAUAACCUUAGCAAUUGACGUUAGCGACAGAAGAAGCACCGGCUAACUCCGUGCCAGCAGCCGCGGUAAUACGGAGGGUGCGAGCGUUAAUCGGAAUUACUGGGCGUAAAGGGCACGCAGGCGGUUAAUUAAGUUGGAUGUGAAAUCCCCGGGCUUAACCUGGGAAUGGCAUUCAAGACUGGUUAGCUAGAGUCUUGUAGAGGGGGUAGAAUUCCAUGUGUAGCGGUGAAAUGCGUAGAGAUGUGGAGGAAUACCGGGUGGCGAAGGCGGCCCCUGGGCAAAGGCUGACGCUCAUGUGCGAAAGCGUGGGGAGCAAACAGGAUUAGAUACC
RNAcentral lists this ribosomal RNA (453 nucleotides) under uncultured bacterium. Its description in RNAcentral is "bacterial SSU rRNA". It matches the Rfam family "Bacterial small subunit ribosomal RNA", at positions 340 to 786 of the family's 1533-position model. The record is from RNAcentral.